AUUUACUAGUCUAUACCCGGAAGUAAUCAGGCACAGAGAGAGACAGCGCGAAUGUAAAGUUGUAUGGAUUACGAUGAAAAUAAGGAAAUGGACUCUUGACAAAGCAGUAACUACAGCAGACUAUUUUUAGAUGAGAAAGGAUCCAGUAAUGCUAUAUCAUUUCUGAUUUAAAAUUUUGCUUGGAAUUGCGGGACAAUGGCCAGGCAAGGUACAAUAGGCGGCGGUUAUACGACAGUUUUUCCAAGUUCAACAUCUUCAUCAAAGUAUGACGAUAAUGAGCCAGAGAUCCAGUGGAAGUCACACUGUAAGUAUGCUACAGUACAUGUACAUGAACUCAUAAAAGUUUACUUUCCACUUCAAAGCUAACUGAUGUGAAUAGAUUGAGAUAUAAAAGUUUAUGAUGGUCAUUUAUGAUACCAGCAGAAUUGAGAAAAGAAAGAGAAAGAAGAAAAGAAAAGAAAAUGGUAGUGAGAGAGAUCAAAGAGUGAAACUGUUAUGAGAGACAAAUGAAGAAGGGG
Molecule: long non-coding RNA, 518 nt
Organism: Strongylocentrotus purpuratus (purple sea urchin)
Lineage: Eukaryota; Metazoa; Echinodermata; Echinoidea; Camarodonta; Strongylocentrotidae
Exons: 2
Source: RefSeq, a predicted model, not a curated record